UCUUAUGAUGUUGAAAUUUUUUAUGUUAUAUUUUGUUCUAGGUUUUAGAUGUGUUUCUUGCAGGGCAACACAUAAUGGCGUAUGUCUUUGAAUCAAUAGUUUCAACUCGUUUAAGUUAUUGGAUAGUCCCCGACAAUUCCAUUGGAUAAUUUUGGUAUCCAUUACAAAGAUAAGAUUAAAAGAAACAACAAUGGAAUAAAUAAUAUUAAUAAAUAACAGAUCAUAGUGUAUAAGGGACGACUACAAACAAAUAACAAUUAAUUUAAGACAGAUACAAGAGACAGAUAUAUCACAGAUUUGGUAAUUCAAUACAGAUUGUAGGUAGAUUAUCACAGUAAAUAUAUCACGUAUGGGUAUCAACACUAGAGAGAGAUUUUCCUAGGUUUGCCCUUUGGCCAUCCUUUUUUCUUCUUUUGUUGAAGAAUUUGUUUUCUCUCUAUAUCUAAGGCUUCUUCAUCUAAUAUUGGCGAAGAUGGGGUUGAACUAUCCUCAUCUCGCUUCCUCUUAUCAACAGGAUCCGCGAUUGUCACAUGACAGUCCUGGAACUUCCAUGAGGUAAUUCUAUCGGAGACGGAGAUACGGUUGGUUUCGGCAUUGAUUGUUUAACAUACUCAACUAAGAUACCAGGUUGGGUUGAGUAUCAGUGGUUAGGCGUGUAGCAACAUUUGAGUACGAGUUGUUUGAAGUAACAGCCGAUCCAAGCAUUCGUUUUGCCUCCAGAUAAGACACCUUACGGGUAACCUUUAUCUCUUGAAUUUGUAACUCUCUUUUAUACACUUCGCAAGUUCUAGAGUUUGCAGGAUGUGUACCGUUGCAAUUUAGGCAUACGACUGGAUCGUCACAUGGAGAACCCGGGUGUAAGGAUUUUCCACAGACACAUACUUGUUCCUUCUCACAUUUUAGUGUUGUGUGUCCGAAACGUUGACACUUGUAACAUCUCAUUGGUUGUGGAACAUAUGGUCUCACUUUCAACGUAUAAAAAGCCGCAUUAAUCACCCUGGGAAGUUGGGUGGCAUUGAAGGGAGCGGGGGAAAAAAACCACCCUCUCCAUCCAUGCCAGAAGCUUGUACUUGCGUUGGGGCCUGGUCAUCCACCCACAACGCCGAGCAGCCGCUUGACAACGGUCGGGUGAGGCCUGCCCGCUCCGCCUCGCUCCCGACCGGCACUGGGGACCGUCCGAACCCCUGCACCCGUUUUUAUGCUACCGCCAGCAUUAAUCAAUACAGGGAAAAAGGGAUAAUUUGGAGUGGUAUAGAUAAAUGGGUAGGUAAGUUACUAAAGGCGGUUGGACUCGACGCCUUUAGUGCCCAUUGAUCGCCUUUUACGAUCUCCAG
Photinus pyralis (common eastern firefly) is the source of this 1334-nucleotide long non-coding RNA. RefSeq lists it as uncharacterized. The transcript is spliced from 5 exons. The record is from RefSeq and is a predicted model, not a curated record. NCBI's taxonomy places the organism in Eukaryota, Metazoa, Arthropoda, Insecta, Coleoptera, Lampyridae.